Lepidothrix coronata (blue-crowned manakin) is the source of this 812-nucleotide long non-coding RNA. NCBI's taxonomy places the organism in Eukaryota, Metazoa, Chordata, Aves, Passeriformes, Pipridae. The record is from Ensembl.
UGAGGACAUGAGCUGGGCACCCGGGUUUGUUAUUGCCAUUAACGAUGGAAACCACAAGCUGGGCUUUGGGUGUGCCUGGAGGUGGGGACAGUGGCUCUGGGGGUUGGUGCUGUCCCCCAGAGGGACAGGAGGGCUGUCGUCGAGGUGUGCAGGGGGAUGGCAGUCCUGGGGAAGCGAGCGUGGUCUCUGCUCCCAGGGCAGAUGUGUGGGACAGAGGAGUCAGGUCCCAGCUCUGGGCCGGGCAAUGACGUCCCUGUGGCAGGAGGUGACUGAUGGUGCUUGUCCUUCCCUUUCAGCUCACAAACCACUGAGGAUGUGUGACCCCCACCACGGCAUGCCACGACCACACCAUCCAGUUUGCCCUCCUGGUCCUCCAGGACACCAUGGUCUUGUCACAGGUCCCUACCCUGGUGGUCCUGCUUUCUGCCCCCCUCCACCUGGCCAUGGGCACCACCCCCAUGGGCACCACCCCCAUGGGCACCACCCCCAUGGGCAUCACCCCCAUGGGCAUCACCCCCAUGGGCACCACCCCCAUGGGCAUCACCCCCAUGGGCACCCCCAUCCAGGACCACCUCACUGCCAUUAGAAGUAACAUAAGAAGCACCAUAAGGACAAGCACUCCAAGCACCAUGGAGACAAGCACUCCAGUAGCUCAAGCAGCAGCUCUGACUCUGACUGAAGAUCUGGCAUCUCCCACAUUCAGCAAAACAUGAAGCCAAACACCUUGUGGGAACUCCCUGCAUGUAGCUCUACUCUCUUCCCCUUUCCCUUACAGCAGUGUUUUGCCUGCUGAGUGAUUUUCUUGUGUUUAC